RNAcentral lists this ribosomal RNA (208 nucleotides) under uncultured bacterium. RNAcentral describes it as "partial 16S ribosomal RNA". It matches the Rfam family "Bacterial small subunit ribosomal RNA", at positions 568 to 774 of the family's 1533-position model. The record is from RNAcentral.
UGUGUAGGCGGUCCUCUAAGUUUGGUGUGAAAUCUCCCGGCUCAACUGGGAGGGUGCGCCGAAAACUGGAGGGCUAGAGUCGCGGGAUGGGAAAGUGGAAUUCCUGGUGUAGCGGUGAAAUGCGUAGAUAUCAGGAGGAACACCUGUGGUGUAGACGGCUUUCUGGACCGCAACUGACGCUGAGACACGAAAGCGUGGGUAGCAAACA